This 215-nucleotide unclassified non-coding RNA is filed under the name Melitaea cinxia (Glanville fritillary). RNAcentral describes it as "misc RNA ENSMCXG00005018343.1". Lineage: Eukaryota; Metazoa; Arthropoda; Insecta; Lepidoptera; Nymphalidae. The record is from RNAcentral.
UUAUGGUCUACCUGACACAAGAUGUAAAAUUGUUAACUGGCCAUAUUUGGUAUUCCAGUACGAAAGUCAAUGAGAGAUUGUAAUUACAGAAUAAAGUGGAAUAACAAAUUAGGAUUAGCCUUUUUUGUUUAUGCAAGGGAAAUCUUCUAAAGAUCGCCUCUUUGGAAAAGAGGCCUGGGCACAUUUAAAUCUUUAAAUAAGGCGUGGGCCAUCAC